This 216-nucleotide ribosomal RNA is filed under the name uncultured bacterium. RNAcentral's name for it is "partial 16S ribosomal RNA". It matches the Rfam family "Bacterial small subunit ribosomal RNA", at positions 524 to 735 of the family's 1533-position model. The record is from RNAcentral.
UACGAAGGGGGCUAGCGUUGUUCGGAUUUACUGGGCGUAAAGGCGCGUAGGCGGUCGUGACAAGUCACUUGUGAAAUCUCCGGGCUUAACUCGGAACGGUCAAGUGAUACUGUCGGACUAGAGUACAGAAGGGGGCAACUGGAAUUCUCGGUGUAGCGGUGAAAUGGCGUAGAUAGUCGAGAGGGAACACCUGCGGCGAAGGCGGGUUGCUGGGCU